AAUCUUUCCUACAGACAAGAUCUAAAUGAAAUUUUGGCUAAAGUCGAAAUUGUAAUGCAAUCUUUCUAAAAUAAAUCGUGAAAUAGCAAAGGGCUUCAAAGUACAAAUUUUCAAGCGUCAAAAACCAAAUUUUACCCAAAAAAUGUUCAAAAUGACGUGAAAUCGUCACAUCUGGCAGCAUUGGGAACGCUGAAAUUUUUUUGUCGAUGUUCUCCAAAGAUUAAAUUGGUCAUCGAAAUGAAAAAAGUUGGCUGUUUCCUCUAAUUUUGUUGAUGUUUCUAUCUAAAAUAAGAUCGCUAUUUCCAAAUCCGCUCAUGGCCUGGCUCAAUUCGGUGCAUACAACCGGAUUUGAAAGGAUACAGCACUGUAUCAACCCUAAAAUAACUUUCUUGGAUGAAUCUUCUUUUGUACUUACGGAUUAUUGGCAUCAGGAUUAGGUACCUGCAUCCAAUUUUGGAAGUGUCUCAUACUCUCCGCUAUACAAUCACGAUGGCCCAAAUGGCAAGCCAUAUUGAGAAUUUCACCACGAAUAAAGUGCUCCAGCAUAUUAUUCUCAUUACGGGAUUCCACAAAGCCCAAUUGGUUGUAAAGGUUGUCCAGCAGUUUCAAAAGGUAGCUCUAAAUUAAACCAAUAAAAGUUUUUGAAAUCAUAA
Molecule: long non-coding RNA, 653 nt
Organism: Stomoxys calcitrans (stable fly)
Lineage: Eukaryota; Metazoa; Arthropoda; Insecta; Diptera; Muscidae
Exons: 2
Source: RefSeq, a predicted model, not a curated record